RNAcentral lists this ribosomal RNA (253 nucleotides) under uncultured bacterium. Its description in RNAcentral is "partial 16S ribosomal RNA". It matches the Rfam family "Bacterial small subunit ribosomal RNA", at positions 524 to 776 of the family's 1533-position model. The record is from RNAcentral.
UACAGAGGUCCCAAGCGUUGUUCGGAUUCACUGGGCGUAAAGGGUGCGUAGGCGGUCGGGUAAGUCUGAUGUGAAAUCUCCAAGCUUAACUUGGAAAUGGCAUCGGAUACUAUUCGGCUCGAGGAAUGGAGGGGAGACUGGAAUACUUGGUGUAGCAGUGAAAUGCGUAGAUAUCAAGUGGAACACCAGUGGCGAAGGCGGGUCUCUGGACAGUUCCUGACACUGAGGCACGAAGGCCAGGGGAGCAAACGGG